Long non-coding RNA from Phyllostomus discolor (pale spear-nosed bat), 835 nucleotides. RefSeq lists it as uncharacterized. The transcript is spliced from 2 exons. Lineage: Eukaryota; Metazoa; Chordata; Mammalia; Chiroptera; Phyllostomidae. The record is from RefSeq and is a predicted model, not a curated record.
AGGUGAGUCAGUGUUCCCAUAUAAUCCCCAUGUGCACAGCAGGGCUGGGUUACGGUACAAGGCUGAGAAAGCAGGUGGGAGGCAGGUGGUAAGAAUCCUCGGCCCUUCACAAAUCAGCUUGGAUGACGGCGGCCUGUGUAUAACCAUAUACCCUAUUUUGUUCCGAAGAGAGCUGGAAGCAAUUUAUGUCCGAGUCGCAUGAAUGCAUGAGGACGGAAGAAAAGAGUGGAGAGUCAAAACACUGGAUGAUAUCCCACUGCCUGGACGUACCCACAGUUUACCCAGCACCUACUGGAGGACCUCUCGGCUGCUUCCAGUUGUCGCCAAUUACUGCUGUAAACAUCCAGGUGUAGGUUUCGGUGCAGACAGGCUUUCCGCUGCUUUGGGUAAAUACCAAGGAGCAGGGCUGCUGGACUGUUCGGUUUCGUAAGAAACGGCAACCGCCGUCCAGAGCAGCCGCACCGGGCCGCGCCCCCACCACCGGGAGCGAGAGCCCCUGCCGUGCCACGUCUUCGCCAGCGUCUGCUGCUGUCGGUGCUCCGGGCCUCAGCCGUCCGGCCGCCAGCUGGUGUGCAAUGGUACUGAACCUGCACUUCCUGACGCUGUGUGAUGUGGAGCAUCUUGUCGUGUGCUCACGUGCCGUCGGUGCAUCUUUGGUGAGGCAACUAUUCGUAUCUUUGCCUAUUUUUAAAAUUGGGUGGUUUUCAUGUCGAGUUCUAACUUUGUAUAUCUUGCUUACCAGUUAUUUAUCAAAUAUGCCUUUUAUAAUAUGUUUUAAUAUGUGAAAUAGGUACACAGGUAUUUAAAUAAAACAUGUUUGUUGGGGUAUCACCUA